Long non-coding RNA from Tetranychus urticae (two-spotted spider mite), 554 nucleotides. RefSeq lists it as uncharacterized. The record is from RefSeq and is a predicted model, not a curated record. NCBI's taxonomy places the organism in Eukaryota, Metazoa, Arthropoda, Arachnida, Trombidiformes, Tetranychidae.
GCAAACAUUUGGCUCUACUCUUACAGUUUGUUAUGUGUUAACGGUCCCUUAAAUUCACUGUUUUCAGAAAAAUCGGUUCAACUCAAGUUGAAAUUAAAUUAAUUGUGUGUUAACAAGGAAAAAACCUGUGCAAAAGUUAUCACAAUGUCAUUGUUAAAUAGAGAAAUGGUUCGCCGUGGACUCAACUUAGCUACAGUGGUUUCUCGUCAACAAGUCCGAGGAAAGAAACGUUUACUGCCAAUCAUUAGUGAAAAAUGGCUCUGGCCUGCUAUCCCAGUUGUUGGUUUACUGCUUUAUAACAUGUGGUUCAUUAGGCCUUCCGAAAUUCUGGAAGAUUAUCGAUCAGAGAUUGAGAAAAUUUCUAACCUCAAAAACAAAAAAUUUGAUUGAAUAUGAAUCAUUUUCUUCAAUUCUUAUCUUCCUCCCCACUUUUCACCUCAAUUUGUCUUUUGCCAAUCAGUUUAGUUGGUUAAUAAUUGUCAUUUAAUUUCAUUGGCGAGAGUAUUGAGAAUGUUGCUUAAUUAUAGAAUUAAAAUUGAACUUGAUGAUUAUUC